GACAACCAAGAAAACCCAAUACAAUAUUCCAGUUAUUGAUCUACAAGGGAUCGAAGAUGAUCCACGGCGGCAUAAAGAGAUCAGUGACGAAGUCAGGCAUGCAUCAGAGACAUGGGGCUUCUUCCAGAUUGUCAACCAUGGGAUACCUGUAAGUGUUCUUGAAGAUCAUAUUGGUGGUCUCCAAGUACUUCAUGAAGACAAAUGGAUUGAUGUGCCUUGUUCUCCUGGGGCUCUAGUGAUUAACAUCGGUGAUCUUUUACACGUUAAUCCGUUGUCACUCCCGACUCUUUAUUUUCCUUAAAGCACUCAUGUCUAAAACUUAUGUCUUGAAUGCUAGUGAAUAUUUGGGAAAUUUCAACUUAUUUUUUCAGCUUAUUUCGAACGAUGCUUUCGUAAGCGUGGAGCACAGAGUGCUGGCAAACUCGGUCGGACCGAGAGUUUCAGUUUCAGAACUUCGGACCCCAGACUGUACGGUCCUAUCAAGGAACUGUUAUCAGAAGAGAAUCCACCAAAAUACAGGGAAACCACAGUGAGAGAUUAUGCUAUGUACUCCAAUGGAAGAGGGCUUGAUGUUGAUGAUACUUCUCCCUUGCUGCAUUUCAGGUUAUGAUCCCAUGAUAUGAAAUAUGAGCUUUAAGAACUGAAUAAUUUGGUAGAUUUCUUAUGAUUGAAUUGUGUAUUUGGCAUAUCUAGUUUCCUCCAUGUAAUGAAUGUGAUCAUAAUCAAUCAAGAUAAAUAUCGAUAUCGCUUUAUAAUUACUAUUUAAACCUACGAGUUGUUAUUGUAUUAGAUAUAAAUACUAUGAUAUCCUUAAAAUAAAAUAUAUUGGUAUGAUCCAUCAAUCAGGUUCCAACUCAAUUAAGAAAUUAACAAAAAAUUUUAUUUUUUUUACGAAGUAAAAUUAUAUUAUUAUGAACCAAGAACACUAUUAAUAUUGAAUCUUCAAUGUUACAAUUUUAACCAAAGUAUCAUUUAAUUUCUAUAUAAACUUUUAAUACAUUUAUAUAAAUUUUAAAUUAAUCGAGUUGAUAAAUCUUAUUUAAUUUAUUAACUGAAUUUGAUUUAAAUAUUAAAAUCGAAUCAAGUGAAAAUAAAUUUAAAUAAAACUAAAUAAAAAAUUAUUUAAAUUAAUCAAAUUUUCAAAUCAUAUUUUAUCGAUCUCAUUUGAUUUGAAUUUUUAAAUCCAAGUCUUUUGGUUGUAAUAGUUAGAAUUUUUUUGGUCUAGAUAAUGGCAUGUUUGUGGCCAAGUCAACGACGGCUUUGUGGAAAGGUUGCUUCCUUCAUGUCCUAUUAGUAACAUAGACUUUAGUUUGAUCCAAAAUUGCCUUAUUACACUAACAAUUUCAUUCAAAAAUCAACACCAUGGGCUCUUCCGGUGAAUUUCGGGUAGAUUCUAACCCGGACUACGAUCACGAAAGUGAAGUAAAGGCUUUUGAUGAUACAAAAGCCGGUGUGAAGGGAAUAGUAGAUUCAGGUGUCACACAAAUCCCUCGUAUAUUCAUAGAUCAAAGCCUUAUCCUUGAGAAGAAUAACACCGAUUGUUCCAAUAAUCAGCUUGGUGUCCCGAUCAUAGACCUCCAAGGCAUCGGUGGAGACUCGGCUCGCCAUGCCGAGGUGAUUAACCAAGUUCGAAAUGCUUGUGCGGAUUGGGGUUUCUUUCAGGUAGUUCACCAUGGGAUUCCUGCAAGCGUUUUGGAUGAAAUGAUUGAUGGGAUCCGUCGGUUUCAUGAACAAGACACCGAGGUGAAGAAACAGUUCUAUACACGCGAUGCAACUCGCAAGGUGUUGUAUCUAAGCAACUAUGACUUGUAUAAAUCGAAAGCUGCUAAUUGGAGGGACAGUUUGGGUUGUAUCAUGUCUCCUGAUGAUCCAGCUCACCCUGCAGAGUUGCCUCAAGUUUGCAGGUACGUGUUAGUACUAGGCUAUGUUACUCGAAUUCAGUUGUCAGUUGUAUCGUAUAGGUGACAUGUAUUGAGUUUUGUUGCAGAGACAUAGUGAUGGAUUACUCCAAGCAAGUAUUGACAUUGGGGUUCACACUGUUUGAACUGCUGUCUGAGGCUCUUGGGCUCAACCCUGGUUGCCUUAAUGAUUUGGGCUGCGCCGACUUACUGUUUGUAAUGGGACAUUACUAUCCUCCAUGUCCUCAACCAGAACUAACAAUGGGAACCACCAAUCACAAAGACAGUAACAUCAUUACCAUUCUUCUGCAAGAUCAAAUGGGUGGCCUCCAAGUUCUUCAUCACAAUCAUUGGAUUGAUGUCCCUUGCAUACCUGGAGCUUUGAUAGUAAAUGUUGGAGAUCUUCUACAGCUUAUAUCAAACGACAAGUUCAAAAGCGUGAAUCACAGGGUGUUGGCGAAACGAGCAGGGCCUAGAAUAUCAGUGGCAUGUUUUCUGAGAAUGCAAGCGAAUAACAAAGGAAAUGAAUCGAGACUUUAUGGACCAAUCAAGGAACUGUUGUCCGAAAACAAUCCUCCAAUCUACAGAGAAAUCUUGAUCAAGGACUAUCUGUCACAAUACUACUCGAAAGGGCUCAGCGGUAGCGGUUCGCUUUCACAUUUCAAGCUGUCUGAAAAUUAGUCUACGUAAGAUCAUUGCAGGCAAAACUUAAGAGUUGCAGAAGAGAUAAUAGUUCUUAAUUACUUUUUGAAUAAAUUAAAUUUGUAUACAUAUAUGAUGAACAAGUUAAGCACAAGUAUGUUCUGCCUUUGUCCCUGUCCUUACAUUUCUCUGUUUUUAAUCUUUAUGAAGAAAAAAUAGUGUAUAGUGAAGAGCAUGGGACCAAGCAGCUAUCACUGCUAUCAUCGUUUUCGACGUGGCUGAUUAAUAAACAAAUUUCCAUCCUUUUCUGAAUCGUUUUUUUUAGAAAUUGAAUAAAAAGAAUUGAUUAAUUAUAAAAAUGAUUCAUGUGUAAAAUUGAAUUAUCUAUUUUAUAUAGUGACUAUUAGUGCCGCUAACUUGACCGGCGGUAUCAUCCCUCAUCAUUACCCAAUGAUUAUCUAUUUUAAAAAAAUAAUUGUUUUUGUGCUACCACUGUGUCUAAUGACACCGGUAUGUAUGUAUGUGUUUUCUUAAAUAAUUGGAAGGAAAAAAAUUAAUAUUUUAAUAGCCGUCGUUGUCUUUCUAGCGGCAGUGGAGAAAUUUUUUUUUAAAGUAUCAAAUAAAAAGUCAAUAUACUUUUUGGUGCCGCCAUUCUUCUUGGUGGCACUAGUGUCUUUUUUAAAAAAAUAAUUUUUUAUGUCGUUGGUCUAUUAGGUAACCCUGUUAAAAUUUUUAAAAAAUUCAAUAAUAUGAACAUUAAAAAUCUUGACAAAACUCAUUGAAAAAUUUCAUUGCAACGUUAAAGAAGUGAGAAGUAAAACAAGACAAAACCCACAAAAAAUAAACAUAGAAAAGAAAUAUAUACCUAGAAAAGUUUAUUUUGCAAGAGUAGAGUAAUGAAGUCAAAACUUUGAAAUCUUCACUCUUUUAAGAAAAUAUGUUGAGAAUGAAAAUUUAAGAAAAAUUGAAAGUUUGUUUCAAAAUAAAACUUCUUAUUGAAUAUUUCAACAGCAUAUAAAGUUGAACCUAAUUUUAUUAUAAAAAUAAUUAUUAUAAUUCUAUUCAAUGUUUUGUAAGUUAAACACAUUUAAAAUAUUUUAACUUUUAAUCUGUGUGUAGAUUCUCAAGAUAAUAUUUUAGAAUAAAUUACUUGUAUUGAGAAUUAAAAUAUUGUCUCAAGAAUCUACAUAUAGAUUAAAAGUCAAGAUAAUUUAAAUGAGCUUAACUUAUAAGAUACUGAAUAGAACUAUAAAGGAUACAAGGAUACAGGAGUAUGGUUCUUGGAUGGUAGUUGAUCUGUGUUCAAGGAGAGCUAAUCGGAGUAAAGGCUCUGACAAGGAUGACAAGGUAAGUGCAAAUCUUCAGGGAUCCCGAUUUCAUGCUCUGCAAGAUUUAAGGGAAAAUGAAUUAGGGAAUGUGCAGAUUUCUAAGUGUGGAAUUAUUGCUAAAUCUAAGGGAAAAGGUUCGGCCGUUUAUGAUAAUCCAUUGGGGUGGGUGAUUCAAUUAUGGAUCGUGACAAUGGGAAGGGAUUUGGGUCGUGUUGAUUUGUUAAGGCCUCUGAGAUUGUCAACAGGAAAGGCCGCGUCUUUGGGGACUCGUUUAAUAGGUCUAGCGGGUCCACUGUUAAUUCUGCUAUUGAUAAGGGAAUGGGCCAGAUUAGGAAUGAUUUGUUUCCUUUAGUUAAUUCAGGGGUUAAUGCCCAACUUGAAGAUAAGGGAACUUCGUUGCAAGAUAACACUUCAUGACAAAUUGAACGGACGACGAUGGGGGGUCUAGUUUGUUGGUGGAAAAAAUCAUGAGGACCACGCUUAAUGUGGAUAAUCAUUCUGUGGAAAAAAAUGUGAUUGUUACAACUAUUAAAAAAGAUUUUUUUAAAAUGUAUACAACUUUUUCAAUAAAAGGUGGCUAUUACAACUUUAUUUCAUACAACUUUUUCAAUAAACGAUGGCUGUUACAUCUUUAUUUCAAGGUUAAAAGUGUCUUAAUUACAACUAAUAGAAAAUAUUUUAAAUUUAUUUAUUUUGUCUAAACCUGUGUACAUCAAUCACAUUUUUCCUUAUAAUAAUCACUUUUUUCUUUUAAAUUAAAUUGAUCAUUUAUCAGCUUUAUUAUAGAGGAAGAGAUGUUGUUGGAGAAGAAAAAGAAGAAAAAGGGAGGAGCUUUAUUACGAGAUUUUAGUAAUAGUGAUGAUGUUUCUUCUUCUUUGUCCUCACACUUUUUUACUCCACGAUGAAAUUGUAUUUCUUUUUGAUACACUAGAUCCAGGUUUUUAUUCUAGAGAAUGGAUGACAAAUUUUUUUUUUUUAAAUUUUGGUGCCACAUGAUAGAACGGCAACACAGAAAAAAAAAUAUUUUUUAAAAUUUAUUCAUUGCAACCAUAGAGGUCUGCCACCCAUUAAAAAAUAUUUUUUAAAAAAUCUCUAGUGUCGCCAAAGAGGUCGAUGACACCAAUUAAUUUUUUUUUCUUUUUCUUUUUCCUCCUAGAAUACUCAUAUUUUUUUUUCAAGAAUGUAAAAAAAAUACAUACUGGUGCCACUGGACAUAAUGGCGACACUCAAAAAUAUAUAUUUUUUAAAAGAAUGAUGAUUGCCUGAUGAUGAGGGGGUGAUGUCACCAAUGGGUAUAACGAUAUCAGCGUGUACUGUAGAAAACAAAUCAUUCUCGUACAAGAUUUUGGUCUUGAGUUAUUUUCGUAAUUAAUUAUUUUAUUUGGGUCAAUUUAAAUAAAAAAAUUAAAUAAACCUCAAAACCCAAACAUGAAUUUGAUAAAAAAACAGAUUUUUUUAUUUUAAAAAUCGAAUUUAGAGAUGAGAUGGAACAAAUUAGUUUAUCGUUAAAAAUUUUGAGGUUAGGUCAGGAUCAAGUUUAAGAAAAAUUAUCUUACUCUGUUAUGAUAUAUUUACAAAACACAUCUCUUUGAAUUUUUUUCUUUUGGUAAGGAGAACACACUCCUAAUAUCUAAGAAUGGACAACACUCGAGUUCCUCUCAUAUAAGUGAUUUUGACUAUCCUCUUCAAGCAGCCUUAUUACAUACUUUGGUGGACCUGAAAACAUUACUAUCUGAUUAAACUUCCCUGUUACCACCCUUGCCAGACAAUUAGCAACCUUAUUACUUCCUCGCCACACAUGCCAAAACCUCACUUUCUAAUCCUUCUUACACCAUCCAUAAAUUAACCGGACUUCUAUAAUGUUACUAAUAGAUACAAACCCCUUACAAAUAGUAUUCAUAAGCAUCGCAUUAUCACAAUUAAUCUCAACCUGUUUAUACCCUUCCACCCAAGCUAGCUUCAUCCCCUCAAUAACCGUUCGUGCCUCAAUCCUGAAGAUUUCAUCCAUCUCUGUUACCAUAUUAAAGCCCGUCAGCCUCUUCCCAUUCGAGUACCGUAUAGCACCUGCGAUCCUUGCUUUGGAGUUAUUAAUUGAAACAGAGCCGUCAACAUUAAUCUUGACCCAUCCUGACUCAGGGCGUUGCCACCUUUGUUUAGUUUUAAAAGAGCAAGCCAGAUAAGAUAUCUUGGUGCCGAGACCACACGACUUCGUCAGGCAAGAGCCGAUGCAAUGAGAUCAUGACUACUUCUACUAGAACUUUUGAAAAUAAAGUCAUUGCGACUUUUCCAAAUGAAUCAAGUCACUAUUGAGAAAAGGGUCGACCAUUCACCACUAUCAACAUUAAGCAUCCCUUUAUUCAAUAUAUUCUAGAGUACUCAUUCCCGAAUAUUAAGAUUAAAAAAGACACUCCACACAUUCCUCGGCAAUACAUGCUUCCAUACCAAUUGAGAAAAAUCACAAUCUCUCACAGCAUGAAGAGCAGACUCAUACGACUUGCCACACUGUUCACAAAAAGGAGAGAAAGACAUAACUCGUCGUACUCGUUCCGCAUUUGUUAAGAUCUUAUUCCAAACAAGCAACCACAAGAACGUCUUAAAUCUUUGAGGAGUUUUCAAUUUCUAGAUGACUUCAUCAUCUUCAAGUUGACCGGAUACGAUGGGACCACAAAUAUGCUUGUAUGACUGUAACAGCCCAAAUUUCAGUGAUAUCGGAAUAGUGAUUUGAAAUCACUAAAUCUGACAUGUGAGUUUAGAUAUUAGUAAGUAAAUGUUAAGUCUGGUUUUAGAAAUAAUUUUGAAUUAAAUGAAAUUAUGUAGUAUAGGAAGUUGUAGAUAAAACAGAAUAAAAACGAGGUAUCAAGACCUCGAAUUCAUAAAUCGAGCCAUAAAUAUUUUUAAAAAUAUUUAUGGAGUGUAAAUAAGUUUAGUAAUGCUUCGUGCUCGACUCCGGCGACUGUCUCGGGUAAGGGGGCGUUACAAUGACUCUCGCAUAGAAAAUUUCCUAACGGACAUCCACCUCCACGAAAGAUGAUCCACUCCUGAUCCCCUUAAAGGAGGGUUACAAGAUUGUAUUCGAUUAACCACCUUUCUAGGAAGGACUGUUAAGAGCCAAGUGGAGUUCCAAUCCCCUUCUGCGUUUAACACAUCACAAACACAAAUGGAUUCAUCAAGAACGCCACUCCCAUUGAAUUGGGAUUUAAGAGGCCCCAAAUCGUGAAUCCAGACGUCGUUCCAGAAAAUAACAAUUUGCCCAUCCUGAAUCAUCCAAACGAGUCCCUUCUUUACUUCAUCCUAGACCUUCACAAUGGAUUUCUAGAUGUAAGAACGGUUACUUUGAUGUAAAUCAUUAGGUAUGAUCCCAUGUAUAUUAUAUUUGCUCUUAAGAAUCCUUACCCAUAAUGUAUCCAUGUUUGUCACCAAACUAAAGUCCAAUUUUAAAAUAAAUAACAUAUCUUGAUCAUGCAACCGUCGAACACCAAGACCACAUUUAUCUACUGGUCUACAUACAUCACUCCAACUUACAAGAGCUACCAAUCUCCUUUCAUUGUUAGAACCCCAUAGGAAAGACCGAACUACCUUCUCAAUUUCCUUACAAAUUGUAAUUGGAAUUCGAGCUGCUGUCAUAAAAUAAUUUGGAAUCGACAACAAGACCGACUUUACCAACGUGAGCCUUCCAGCGAAGGAUAGUUUUCGAGCAUCCCAACCAUUAAGACAGUUCUGAACUUUAUCCAGAACAAAGGAGAAAGUAUUCCUCCCAACCCUAUGAUGAAAAAGCGGCAUACCAAGAUAAAAUCCCAAAUCCUCUACUCUAGUGAAACCCAAAUUGGUGCUUAUUUCAUUAGCAACCACCUCUGACACAUUGCUUGAAAAAAAAACCUGUGUCUUUUGUCUAUUAACUUUAUGGCCAAAGAACCAACAGAAACUCUCCAACACCUUCCUAAGGCAGUCUGUUCCUUGACUCGUAGCUCUACCAAAACGUAAAAGAUUGCCGAAAAAAAAGAGAUGAGAGAUGUCCGGUCCUCGUCGUGAAAGCUUAAUUGGUUCCCAAACCCUUUUUUCAGCCUAAUUCUCAAUAAAAUGACCCAGGCGCUCCAUGCCAAGAACAAUUAAAUAGGGAGAUAGCGGAUCCCCUUGAUGCACACCUCUAGAUGGGCUAAAUUCUUCUGAGAGAGAACCAUUCCAGAGUAGUUGUAAAGUAGAUGAUGAAAUAUAGUGCAUAAUAGUUCGCACUAUUGUUGCCGGCAAACCAACGUCAUGCAAAGUAUCCUCAAGAAAAUCCCACCAGAUCCUGUCAUACGCCUUCUCAAGAUCCACUUUGACUACCAUCCACCCUUUUUUACUCUUUGUGGUCUUCAUGGAAUGAAUAAUUUCCUGUACUAUGAUUAUAUUGUCCGAAAUGUUCCGUAAAGCAAUAACACUUGAUUGGUUUUGCUUAACCAGCGUUUGCAUAGCUUGUCGGAGGCGAAUUACAAUCGUCUUGGUGAUUAUCUUGUACAAUACAUUGCACACACUAAUGGGACGGAAUUGAUUGAUUGUUUCAGCUCCAAAAAACUUGGGGAUAAGCACUAAGAGGGUCUUCUUAACCCUUGGAUCCAAUCAUUCUCCCAAGAAAACAUGUUUGACUAGAUUAAACACACUGACCCCUACAACCUCCCAAUUGGCUUGGUAAAAUUUAGCGUGAAAGCCGUCCACCCCAGGUGCCUUAAGAGGAUUCAUGCUAAAAACAGCCCGACGAACCUCUUCUUCAGUGACCUCAGCCAAUAAGUCUGUUAUGACAUUCGACUUGAGUCUCGAGAAACGCCCACGUACAGGAAAACUCCCUGUCAAAUAACUAUCCACUGUAUACAGCUUGGAGAAAUAAUCUGUCGCAUGCCUCCGUAGCAUAUCGUUAUCAAAACAUCAUUCAGACCCUUCAAUUAGUAGAGCUUCAAUUUUAUUUUGUCGCCUUCGCUUUACUGUGCGAUUGUGAAAAAAAGCAGUGUUUCGAUUUCCAUUCAAAGGCCAUUCACUUUGAGAUUUUUGAAACCAAAGUAGUUCUUCCUGAUUUAAAAUGUGUUCUAACUCAAGUCGAAUUUCGGAUUCUCUAAAACUAAGUUUAGUGUUGUAUCUUCUUUCCAAAGCCCUUUACAUCUGCUCAAGUUCUCUCAACUUCAUCUUUUUCUUGUCAAAGAUAUUACCAAACAUAGACUUGUUCUAAACCUAUAUUGACUUCGAAAAAACCUCAAGAUUUUGCAUAAUGCCAUUGUCAGAACUCUAACAUUGUCAGAACUCUAACCCUUCGCAAUACAUCCUUGAAUUCGGGAUGAGACAACCAACUUGCUAGGAAACGAAAAGGUCAAGUUUCAUUUUCAACCUUUUCCGGAUUCAUGGAGACCAUCAAGGGACAAUGAUCAGAUUUUAACUUAUAAAGGUGUCGAACUAUGGUAUUAGGAGCAAAAGUUUGCCACUCACUAUUGCAGAAAGCCCAACCAAGUCUCGGGAAAAGUUGCCCCUUACUCUACGUAAAUUUUGGUCCUCGGAAACCCAAAUCAAAGAAACCAUGGUUACAAAAAAAAAUUCCUAAAUCGAGAACAUUCGAUUUUACUAUUAAUAGCUCCACAUUGGCGUUCAUCAGCACUCAUAACCACAUUGAAGCCACCUGCCAAAAUCCAAGGUUCAUUAAUUCCAGUAGCUAAGAGAUCAAGUUCUUCCGAUAACUGAGUCCUUAAGCCUGAGUGGGGACUUACAUAAACUGCUGUACAUAGGAAAGGUCUGCAGCACCUUCGGUCCCGGAUUCGCACAUGAAUAAAUUGAAGAUGUGCCUCAAAAAAUUCCACACUCGAGCCCUCAUUCCACAAUAACCAAAUGCCACCAGCAAACCCUGUUGCUUCUACUCUAAAAGAGUAAUCAAACCCCAAGUUAGCAAUCACAACUUCAGCCCGAGCACCACUUAUUCUAACUUCAAACAUAGCAACGAAAUCUAAUCUAAACUCUCUAAAAUAUUCUUUCAACAUCUUAUUGAAACGUGGAUGACCACAACCUUGGAAAUUCCAAAACAGAAACCAAAAAUCUGCUGUCAUAAAAUCUAAAAUAAAAGGAAUAGAGGAAAGCGCUUACCUCGAACUCAAACUCUAUCAGCAUCCUUCAGAGACUCAUCAUUUGAAGCAUCGCCCACCACCACAUCAGCCCCUUUAUCAGGGUUUUCACCCACGUGACUAUGUAACCCAUAGAUAAUUCCCUCACUGCUUCCACAACCGGUAUCGAUGGCUCAAAAUUAAAAUUCGAAUAGGGAGGUUCUUGCCCAGUAUUUUCCCCCAUCUCUCUUCCAUUUCGUUCAUUUGAUUGUUGGCCUGAAUUCUCCCCUGUACGAAUUAAAAAGUUAGAAGGCCUAUUUUUCUGGGCACUCGUACCUACUGCGUUCUUCCUUUCACUGGAGGGAAAAAUCACUGCCAUGUUUUCUCCCCAUCUAAUUUUGGGCCUGCUGCUUGAAAAUGAAAUUUCCCCAUGUUUUCCCCAAGUAGAAUGGGUCUCAUCUUAGAUCCAUCAUCAAAUGGAUUCUUAGCCAGGCUAGAGGAAGGCCGACUAAUAGAGUUAGAUGGUUUCGAAAUCUUACGGCCAACUUUCAGCCUACCCUCUAGCAUUGGACUCUUCCCCUUAUUAAGGGAUUUAUUCUUGCUCCUAUUCCUCCCACUGACAUUAACAACAAAUUGUCGUUUAUUUAAACUUUCUCUCUUAUCGUCCUUAAUUCGCGCCCUAUCGUCCUCUAUUUGUACUUUAUCAAGCUGAAUCGAAUCUCCCACAUUAAUGUCUUGAGCAAAAUCCCCCACAUCAUCGCCCAGAUUCUCACAUAACAAAACAAAUCUAGACCCUUUACUCUCGCCGGCCAUCGUAUCUCGAGCUGAUUUUUUCGGGAUCGAUCGGACUCCUUUCCUAUGCUUCCGUUCAAGUAGCAUCCAAGGACCAUAUCUGCCCUCCUCAACACACUUUGGGCUUGCAGACACCUCCUCCUCCGCAUACUGUACCUUCUCCUUAUCCGAUCUAAAAGAGUAAAUCUCUCUACUGUGCCGAUAUCUUCCACAAUCGAAGCAUACUACAGGUAAGGACUCGUAUUCCACACGUUGGAUCCUACCAUUAAUUAAGAUCUUAGACACUAGCGGCUGAUCCAAGUUAACAUAAAUCGCAAUUCGGGCAAAUUGUCCUCUAGCUCUAUUGUCAGUAUUCUAAUCUAUUCUAGCGACCGGGCCAAUCACCCACCAAUAAAUUUUAGUAGACUUGAGGUAUACAUCCCUUCUGGUAAGCCAGGGAGCCUAACCCAAACCAACAGAUUGUUGGGUUGCGCUUGGUCAGUUGAGAAGCUCCGUGACCAUGGCCUAACCAUUAAGUAAUGACAAAAGAUUGUCCACGGUUCUCCCGAAAUUGUAGCAAUGUAUUCACUCUCGUUUUGAAAACGAACUGAAAAAAAUCAUUCUCCAAGUCAAGGGCCUUUAAUGCUUGAUUCGUUUUUCAUAUCACUUGGAGUUUAUUCGACAUGGCGUGGUAAGAAAUCUUUCGACCCAGAAGUUUCACAAUCACUGUCUUGGCCAUUCGCUGGGCAAUGAAAUUAUGAACACGUUCAGAGAAAGUAAUUGAAGGUAUGCCAUCAAUCACCUCCUUUGAAACAUCACCAUCAUUCAACUUGAAAUCUUCCUUAUCCUUAGAAGGUCCAUUGAUCUCAACCUGGCCUAAUAGAUUGUCUUUCCAUGAAACAGAGGAUUCCCCCCCUGAUAAUACCGUCCUACCCUGCUCAUCCAUAAUAGGAUCAUUAGGAUUAAGAGGUUCAUUCGACCUCAUUCGGAUUUUCUUUGUAGCGCGUCCCAAAGAAACACCAGAGACCAAAACUCCGUCGGACAUGCUUUUUUUACUGCUCUUACAUCUCUUUUAAUUUUAUAACUAUUUUCCUGUUUUUAAUUAUAAUUCCAUAUGUACAGCUCAAUUAUUGCCCGGGCCCAAUUGGCAGAGCCCAAACGGCCCAAUAAGCCCAACCGGCCCCAAACCUAGUCAGACUAGGGCGGAAACCCUAGCCAAGCCUAGCGCCGUGCCCAUCCCUCUGCCAUCGCUUUGUCCCAUCGCCACCCACCUGCUCCACCGCCUUGCAAACGUUGCCCACACGCCACCACCAACUCCUCUGGCACCUGCAAUCAAAAGAAAAAGAACAGAGCAGAGCAAGGCAGCAAGCAACAGUAGCCACAUUUUCUUAAUAUUGUAAUCGGCUAUAAAGCCUAAAGGAGAUCAGUUUGUAAAAGGGGGGGAACCGGAUCAAUACAGAAGCAAAUAUAAAAACAAAAAACAAAAAAGGUUGACUCCAAAUUUUUCUGUUCUUGCAUUUUUAGUGUUUGUUUUCUACCUUUCCUGUUCUUGCAUUUUUGUUUAUUUUAUUCUAUUUUGUUGUUUGCUUGCUACUCUUUUAACAAAACGGAAAAAGAAGGGAAAGGAAGCACUUACCGGUCUCGAAAGCCGUCGCCGGAGACUUUCGGUGUUGGAAUCGGACCGAAAAGGAAGUGAAAGAUCCCUCCUUUCUUGGCUUUUUCGAUCAAGAGAAUAGGGCCUCUGAUCUAGAUCUAAAGUGGGGUCCAAAAGGCUGAUCUUUACCUAGAUCCGACUACCGCCUGCGACGGCGCGGCCGUUCGCCGGUGGUGACCACGGCCGGAGGAGGGAAAGGUCUUAAAAAAGGGGAAGGGUUCUGUUUUUUUUUUGUUUUUAAAACAGUGACAGAAAUGAUUUUUAAAAAAGGAUUUGGGUUUUAAUAACCAUUGCAAAACGGUGCCGUUUAAGCCCCAUGACCCGCGCGCGAUCCGACCCGCUCCAGGGGGAUCCGCGUGCUUUCAUGAAAUGGGCUAUUUGUGCAAUAGGUCCCUCCGCUUUUGCAAUUUGCUUCAAUGUGGUCUUUUGUUUUUCUCAGAUUUUGGCCUGUGGAUUUUGCUUCUAUUCCGAUUUGGUCCUUAGACCAAUUGCUGCCCAUGGUUGAAACGCAGCGUUUCAGGACGGGGAAAUAUUUCCCCACAAGUCCCUCACGCUUUAAGCGUGUUUCACUUUGGUCCUGUAUUAUUCCUUUUGUUUAUUUCAUAUUCAAGCCCCGAAGUUCGUUUAAAGUUUUAAUUUAGCCCUUUGUAUUUUGUUUGUUUUCUUAUUAAAUAAUAAAUUUGAUGUCAUACUGUUAUCAUUAAUUAUUAUUGCUGUUAUUUGUUUAUUUAUAUCUUUAAAAUUUCAAAUUUUAUCAUAUAUAUAUAUAUGUAUAUACUUAUUUUCGUAUUUGUUUUAUAUUUCAUAAUUUGUAUCUAUAUAUCUAUAUACAUUUUUUUUCUAAAUAUAUACGCAUACUUGUAUGUUUUUACAUCUUCAUAUAGUUUUCUAUACAUACAUAUUCCUACGUACGCAUACACACAUUUUUAUACUUUAAAAUUUUAACUUACCUAAAUAUGUAUUAUAUGAUAAUUUUAAAAUAUGUACAUGCAUAUAUUUUUCAUAUUUUCAUAAUUUUAUGUAUAUACACUCAUGUAUAUGUUUUAUAUUUUAUAGUUUAUAUAUUUUCUUUGUUUGUUUUUAUUAUUUAUUUAUUUAUUUCAUUUCCAUUAUUAUUUUGAGUGAAUGUUUAACUUUAUUCGUUUAUAUACAUGGUUAUUUUAGUAUGUUAUAGAUCUGACUUUUUAUUUUUUUUUUUUUAUUGUUGCUAUUGCUCAUAUCACUUUUAUAUUUUUGUAUUCAUUUUAAUUUUGCCAUGCAUAACAACAAUGCAAUUUGCUUUCACAUUUUUUACUUGAAAUAAUAUUUCGUGUUUAGAUUCGAAAGGAUCGCACCCUAAUUUACUGGGUUUCGAUUUUCAUAAUAAAUCUAAAUACACGAAUCUUUUCAAACUCAAAUUUUUAAACGAUCUCGGGAAUUAAGAAAAGAUCGUGCCCUAACUUACUGGGCCUGAUUUAUUUCUAAAACCAAGAUAAUAAAAUAUCUUUUAAAUAAGCAUUUUUUAUCCGCGUAUAAGGGAUUUGAGACAUUGUGUCCUACCUUACUGGAUAUGAUUCUCUUUCUCGAAUAAUGUGAAAUAUCUCCUUUUUCCUGAAAAUUUUCAACGUUUUAAUACCAGGAUCGUAUUUUUAAAAUUCUUCAAGGUUCUCAAUUUUUGACAUUAAGACAUUAAGUAAUCAUCUAGGUACCAAUUUUGGGCGUAUCGAGGGUGCUAAUCCUUCCUCGUGCGUAACCGACUCCCGAACCCGUUUUCUAGAUUCCGUGGACCGAAACCGUUGUUUUAAUAAAAUCAAAUCAUUUAUUAAAAACAACCCUUUUUUUUGAGGUGAUCCAAUCACACCUCAUAAAAAAAAAGAGAUUGGUGGCGACUCCCUAUUUUUGUUUUCAUUUCCAAAAUCAAAAUUGACCCCGUUUUUCAUCCAAAAAAAUGGUGUCAACACCAUAAUUUUAUAAUAUAACUAACAUAUAUUGUAAUUUUAUAAAUAUUAUUAAUUUUUUAAGGUUUUAUAAUGCAUGGUUUAAUUUUGUAAAAUUUAAUAUAUUAUAAAAUAUUAUUUAAAAUUUCGGAGCAUGGGACCAAGCAGCUAUCAUCGGUCUUAUCGUUUUCGACGUGGCUGAUUACCAUCCGCAUUACUGAUAAACAAAUUUCCAUGCUUUUUAACUUCAUUUGUCAUUCUCAGAAAAUUUCAAAUGCUUUUGUUACAUUAAAACGGAAGGAACAAAACACAGUGAAAAAAUGGUGGUCACCAGUGGAGCUGAAGUUCAUGAUGAUUCCAACAACUACGACAGAGAAAAAGAACUGAAAGCAUUCGACAAUUCAAAAGCCGGUGUCAAAGGUCUGGUAGAUGCUGGAAUCACUAAGGUUCCUCGUAUGUUCAUCCGUUCAGACAUUUCAUCGAACACUUUAGAGACAACCAAGAAAACCCAAUACAAUAUUCCAGUUAUUGAUCUACAAGGGAUCGAAGAUGAUCCACGGCGGCAUAAAGAGAUCAGU
This 14840-nucleotide long non-coding RNA is filed under the name Gossypium barbadense (sea-island cotton). RNAcentral's name for it is "long non-coding RNA (GBAR_LNC001113)". Lineage: Eukaryota; Viridiplantae; Streptophyta; Magnoliopsida; Malvales; Malvaceae. The record is from RNAcentral.